AUUGAACGCUGGCGGCAGGCCUAACACAUGCAAGUCGAACGGUAACAGGAAGAAGCUUGCUUCUUUGCUGACGAGUGGCGGACGGGUGAGUAAUGUCUGGGAAACUGCCUGAUGGAGGGGGAUAACUACUGGAAACGGUAGCUAAUACCGCAUAACGUCGCAAGACCAAAGAGGGGGACCUUCGCGCCUCUUGCCCUCGGAUGUGCCCAGAUGGGAUUAGCUCGUAGGUGGGGUAACGGCUCACCUAGGCGACGAUCCCUAGCUGGUCUGAGAGGAUGACCAGCCACACUGGAACUGAGACACGGUCCAGACUCCUACGGGAGGCAGCAGUGGGGAAUAUUGCACAAUGGGCGCAAGCCUGAUGCAGCCAUGCCGCGUGUAUGAAGAAGGCCUUCGGGUUGUAAAGUACUUUCAGCGGGGAGGAAGGGAGUAAAGUUAAUACCUUUGCUCAUUGACGUUACCCGCAGAAGAAGCACCGGCUAACUCCGUG
RNAcentral lists this ribosomal RNA (490 nucleotides) under uncultured bacterium. RNAcentral describes it as "partial 16S ribosomal RNA". It matches the Rfam family "Bacterial small subunit ribosomal RNA", at positions 30 to 507 of the family's 1533-position model. The record is from RNAcentral.